UGAGACACAGGUCCGUCUCUGGCUGCUCCAUCCUGAUCUCGUCUGCUCUCAGAAGCUAAGCAGGGUUGGGCCGGGUUAGUGCUUGGAUGGGUAAAAGGAGCUAAAGUAGGACCAGGCCACGUCUAAA
This 127-nucleotide ribosomal RNA is filed under the name Chinchilla lanigera (long-tailed chinchilla). Lineage: Eukaryota; Metazoa; Chordata; Mammalia; Rodentia; Chinchillidae. The record is from RNAcentral.